Molecule: non-coding RNA, 1950 nt
Organism: Heterocephalus glaber (naked mole-rat)
Lineage: Eukaryota; Metazoa; Chordata; Mammalia; Rodentia; Bathyergidae
Source: RefSeq, a predicted model, not a curated record
AAAAAUAGAUGACAUGUUGUCAUAUAACCUCUUCCUGACCACUCCAUUCUGUAAAAACUAGUUAACAAGCUUUACAUAUGGUGUCCUUGGCCAGCCAAUCCAGAACUGAAAAGAUUUUAUUUCCCUUAAGAUAGUUCCCACUGGAACUGCAGUAUUUAUCAAUCAAAAGACAUUUAUCACAGGAGGUUAUCAGACAGAUUUUCUGGAACACAGCCCAGUUGGCCGUACUGUUCCCAGAGGAGGGAGAGGGGACAAAUGAUACUUCCUUUGUACAUUAUAUAUUUGUAUCCAAAGUAAUGGGCCAUGAAUUCAUUCAUGGGUUCCUUCUAGGUAAAUACCAGUUACUCAUUUCCAUUUCAAACUCAGCACAGCCCCAAAGGAUGGCCUUUAAUUUUGGAAUACUGGGUUUCUCAGCAAAGCUGGUAGUCCGCACAUGUAAUUCUGGAGGACAGGAGCACCAGAUCUGGGCUGAUGAGUAUCGUAUUUACCAAGUGGGAGUAUUACAAGUCACAGAUGCUGAGACCAUGAAAUGUUUAUCUCUGAUGCAGUUGGCUAUUUAGAAUGCAAUUUAAAGGGGUCUGGGUUUGUUAUACAACAGAAGGAGAAUGAAAUUAAAGAAGGGUUCCAUGUUCACCUAGUAUUUCCUGCCGAGGCGUUUUAUCAGGUAAUACAUUUCCUCAUGUUUAGAGGCAGAACUAGCACUCCAGCAGGACCCACUCCGCUUCCCCUACAGCCAUAGCACCUGCCAGAGGAGGAGCCGGGGAGGCAUGUUCAAACAGGGAUGCACAGCCUUCAGGGUCAUUACCCCCAACAUCGAUGAGGAGGCCUCCAUGAUGGAAGAUGUGGGCAUGCAGGAUGUCCACUUCAACGAGCCCAAAAUGAAACAGUCAAGGAAAGCUUUUUAAUCCUGCCCAUCUUUUAAAGUUGUCCAGUUCUUCAUGUGGAGAAAAAGAACCAACAGAGAAAAGAGCACCUAUCUGUCCUCUGCCUGCAUUUUAUUAGCUUUCUUUCUCAAGGAUCAUGGUAUGGUUGCACACAGUUAAUAGUUCAUCUUUUAACCAUUUUUGUACCAGUAAGGAGGGCCUGUGACCAAACAUCUCCCAUGAUGUGAAGCAGUCCAUAAACUACUUGGUUUUCAAAAUGUGGUCCUGAACCUUUUCAUGAAGGCUUUGAGGUCCUUACUUUUCCAACCGAAUGUUUAUGUGAGUCUGGAUAUUUUUGUUUGUUUAUAUAUAUCAACCUAAGCAACAGUCAGACAGAUUUAAUGCAGAAGGUAUGAGAAUCCAGGUUCUCCUACAAAGUCAGACAUUAGAGUUGCAAAAAUGUAAAGCACGGCUACUCCUCAUUCUCCCUCUCUCCUUCUCUUCCUCCCUCCCUCCCUCCACCCCUUUCCCUUCCUCCUUUCCUCCUCUCUAUUUUUUUUAAAGUUUCUUUGAAAAAUACCAUUUUCUUUUUUUAUUCAUUAAUAUGUUCUUUACUUUAAAAUGUUAUUUUUUAAGAUAUAGGUUUCUUUUUAAUUACAUUAACAGAUCUUUUACAUCUUUUCAGUUUUCAUUUCUAAUAUUAUAAAUAUUGAGAGAAAAUACCCACAUAAACAAAAGUUCUUUGGAGUCCUUAAUAAAUUGUAAGAUAUGUAAAAGCUUAAGAACCACUGUUGUAAACUGUCUAGUCUCAAAUGGCCUUCAAAAUUAAAAACUAAAUAUGAACAAAGAAGGUAAUAUAUUGAGUGUACUUCAUAAAGUUUAAAUAUUAAGAUAAGUUUCACAACAAUAGAUAAAGUUUUCUAAUUAUCCUUUGGGGAAAUAAGCUGGUUAUUCCAUGGCAUUAACAGCCCUUCUGUCUCCCAUCUUGAAGUGGCUGGAUGGAUUGUGAUUUUUUUACUUCUUAUUCUCAAGUGUGAAACCUAUCUCUGAAGGAACAAAGCCCACAUGCUCUUGGCUUUCAGCUCCC